RNAcentral lists this ribosomal RNA (433 nucleotides) under Psychopsis barnardi. RNAcentral's name for it is "partial 16S ribosomal RNA". Lineage: Eukaryota; Metazoa; Arthropoda; Insecta; Neuroptera; Psychopsidae. The record is from RNAcentral.
AAUUUAAAGUCUAAUCUGCCCACUGAUAAUUUAAAGGGCCGCAGUAUUUUGACUGUGCAAAGGUAGCAUAAUCAUUUGUCUUUUAAUUGGAGACUGGAAUGAAUGAUUGGAUGAGGUAUUAACUGUCUCAUUGUUAAAAUUUUAAAAAUUUAUUUUUUUAGUUAAAAAACUAAAAUAAAUUUAAAAGACGAGAAGACCCUAUAGAUUUUUAUAAUCAUUAUAUUUAUAAAAUAGUAGAAUUGAAUUUAUUAUAAAUUAUAUGUUUAUUAUGUUGGGGUGACAGGAAAAUUUAAUUAACUUUUUUUGAAUAAAUAACCAAUGAUUUUUGUAUAUAGGUUUUUGAUCCAAUAUUAUUGAUUAAAAAUUUAAGUUACCUUAGGGAUAACAGCGUAAUUUUUUUUAAGAGUUCAUAUCGAAAAAAAAGAUUGCGACC